RNAcentral lists this ribosomal RNA (2930 nucleotides) under Escherichia coli. Its description in RNAcentral is "bacterial LSU rRNA". It matches the Rfam family "Bacterial large subunit ribosomal RNA". The record is from RNAcentral. RNAcentral also lists the same sequence under 3 other names. Lineage: Bacteria; Pseudomonadati; Pseudomonadota; Gammaproteobacteria; Enterobacterales; Enterobacteriaceae.
GGGUUGUGAGGUUAAGCGACUAAGCGUACACGGUGGAUGCCCUGGCAGUCAGAGGCGAUGAAGGACGUGCUAAUCUGCGAUAAGCGUCGGUAAGGUGAUAUGAACCGUUAUAACCGGCGAUUUCCGAAUGGGGAAACCCAGUGUGUUUCGACACACUAUCAUUAACUGAAUCCAUAGGUUAAUGAGGCGAACCGGGGGAACUGAAACAUCUAAGUACCCCGAGGAAAAGAAAUCAACCGAGAUUCCCCCAGUAGCGGCGAGCGAACGGGGAGCAGCCCAGAGCCUGAAUCAGUAUGUGUGUUAGUGGAAGCGUCUGGAAAGGCGCGCGAUACAGGGUGACAGCCCCGUACACAAAAAUGCACAUGCUGUGAGCUCGAUGAGUAGGGCGGGACACGUGGUAUCCUGUCUGAAUAUGGGGGGACCAUCCUCCAAGGCUAAAUACUCCUGACUGACCGAUAGUGAACCAGUACCGUGAGGGAAAGGCGAAAAGAACCCCGGCGAGGGGAGUGAAAAAGAACCUGAAACCGUGUACGUACAAGCAGUGGGAGCACGCUUAGGCGUGUGACUGCGUACCUUUUGUAUAAUGGGUCAGCGACUUAUAUUCUGUAGCAAGGUUAACCGAAUAGGGGAGCCGAAGGGAAACCGAGUCUUAACUGGGCGUUAAGUUGCAGGGUAUAGACCCGAAACCCGGUGAUCUAGCCAUGGGCAGGUUGAAGGUUGGGUAACACUAACUGGAGGACCGAACCGACUAAUGUUGAAAAAUUAGCGGAUGACUUGUGGCUGGGGGUGAAAGGCCAAUCAAACCGGGAGAUAGCUGGUUCUCCCCGAAAGCUAUUUAGGUAGCGCCUCGUGAAUUCAUCUCCGGGGGUAGAGCACUGUUUCGGCAAGGGGGUCAUCCCGACUUACCAACCCGAUGCAAACUGCGAAUACCGGAGAAUGUUAUCACGGGAGACACACGGCGGGUGCUAACGUCCGUCGUGAAGAGGGAAACAACCCAGACCGCCAGCUAAGGUCCCAAAGUCAUGGUUAAGUGGGAAACGAUGUGGGAAGGCCCAGACAGCCAGGAUGUUGGCUUAGAAGCAGCCAUCAUUUAAAGAAAGCGUAAUAGCUCACUGGUCGAGUCGGCCUGCGCGGAAGAUGUAACGGGGCUAAACCAUGCACCGAAGCUGCGGCAGCGACGCUGAUGCGUUGUUGGGUAGGGGAGCGUUCUGUAAGCCUGCGAAGGUGUGCUGUGAGGCAUGCUGGAGGUAUCAGAAGUGCGAAUGCUGACAUAAGUAACGAUAAAGCGGGUGAAAAGCCCGCUCGCCGGAAGACCAAGGGUUCCUGUCCAACGUUAAUCGGGGCAGGGUGAGUCGACCCCUAAGGCGAGGCCGAAAGGCGUAGUCGAUGGGAAACAGGUUAAUAUUCCUGUACUUGGUGUUACUGCGAAGGGGGGACGGAGAAGGCUAUGUUGGCCGGGCGACGGUUGUCCCGGUUUAAGCGUGUAGGCUGGUUUUCCAGGCAAAUCCGGAAAAUCAAGGCUGAGGCGUGAUGACGAGGCACUACGGUGCUGAAGCAACAAAUGCCCUGCUUCCAGGAAAAGCCUCUAAGCAUCAGGUAACAUCAAAUCGUACCCCAAACCGACACAGGUGGUCAGGUAGAGAAUACCAAGGCGCUUGAGAGAACUCGGGUGAAGGAACUAGGCAAAAUGGUGCCGUAACUUCGGGAGAAGGCACGCUGAUAUGUAGGUGAAGUCCCUCGCGGAUGGAGCUGAAAUCAGUCGAAGAUACCAGCUGGCUGCAACUGUUUAUUAAAAACACAGCACUGUGCAAACACGAAAGUGGACGUAUACGGUGUGACGCCUGCCCGGUGCCGGAAGGUUAAUUGAUGGGGUUAGCGCAAGCGAAGCUCUUGAUCGAAGCCCCGGUAAACGGCGGCCGUAACUAUAACGGUCCUAAGGUAGCGAAAUUCCUUGUCGGGUAAGUUCCGACCUGCACGAAUGGCGUAAUGAUGGCCAGGCUGUCUCCACCCGAGACUCAGUGAAAUUGAACUCGCUGUGAAGAUGCAGUGUACCCGCGGCAAGACGGAAAGACCCCGUGAACCUUUACUAUAGCUUGACACUGAACAUUGAGCCUUGAUGUGUAGGAUAGGUGGGAGGCUUUGAAGUGUGGACGCCAGUCUGCAUGGAGCCGACCUUGAAAUACCACCCUUUAAUGUUUGAUGUUCUAACGUUGACCCGUAAUCCGGGUUGCGGACAGUGUCUGGUGGGUAGUUUGACUGGGGCGGUCUCCUCCUAAAGAGUAACGGAGGAGCACGAAGGUUGGCUAAUCCUGGUCGGACAUCAGGAGGUUAGUGCAAUGGCAUAAGCCAGCUUGACUGCGAGCGUGACGGCGCGAGCAGGUGCGAAAGCAGGUCAUAGUGAUCCGGUGGUUCUGAAUGGAAGGGCCAUCGCUCAACGGAUAAAAGGUACUCCGGGGAUAACAGGCUGAUACCGCCCAAGAGUUCAUAUCGACGGCGGUGUUUGGCACCUCGAUGUCGGCUCAUCACAUCCUGGGGCUGAAGUAGGUCCCAAGGGUAUGGCUGUUCGCCAUUUAAAGUGGUACGCGAGCUGGGUUUAGAACGUCGUGAGACAGUUCGGUCCCUAUCUGCCGUGGGCGCUGGAGAACUGAGGGGGGCUGCUCCUAGUACGAGAGGACCGGAGUGGACGCAUCACUGGUGUUCGGGUUGUCAUGCCAAUGGCACUGCCCGGUAGCUAAAUGCGGAAGAGAUAAGUGCUGAAAGCAUCUAAGCACGAAACUUGCCCCGAGAUGAGUUCUCCCUGACUCCUUGAGAGUCCUGAAGGAACGUUGAAGACGACGACGUUGAUAGGCCGGGUGUGUAAGCGCAGCGAUGCGUUGAGCUAACCGGUACUAAUGAACCGUGAGGCUUAACCUUACAACGCCGAAGCUGUU